Molecule: long non-coding RNA, 502 nt
Organism: Rhipicephalus sanguineus (brown dog tick)
Lineage: Eukaryota; Metazoa; Arthropoda; Arachnida; Ixodida; Ixodidae
Exons: 3
Source: RefSeq, a predicted model, not a curated record
GGGCCAUCGUACUCGCAUAUAUUUAUCUGAGCAUUUAAGGUUGGGUUACGUUUGUAAAACAUGCAGUCAGUAUCCGCCCCUGACUGCCGGAGGAUGUGCUUUGGUGUCCGGAUAUGCCGGCACAAAACCGUGUUUAUUCUGGAGCCAAAGUUUGAAGCGAUUUGUCAGAAAAGAAGUGCUAUCAUUCGUGCAUCGCCAGUGCCUAUUGCGAGACAAGGUUCCCGCUGCGUUUUACGUGAAAAUUUGUUUUUGUUGCGAAAUUUGAACGAAACACUCGUGACAGAUGUGUGUACAGUAACGAAUCCCGGAUCACUUCUUCCGCCUCGUCACUCUAGUUGACCGCCACACUCGGGGAAACAAAGGUGCCGCUUUGGUCUGGCGCCUCACCACUCGUGAUGGGGAAAAUCAACAAAGGCGUUCGCCCUGUCAACGCAGUCGGUCCUACACUUCGUUUGGUUGGACAAGACGACGUAGGAAAAGAGUCGCUGGGCAAAACGGCAAG